This 895-nucleotide ribosomal RNA is filed under the name Microbacterium trichothecenolyticum. RNAcentral's name for it is "bacterial SSU rRNA". It matches the Rfam family "Bacterial small subunit ribosomal RNA", at positions 62 to 967 of the family's 1533-position model. The record is from RNAcentral. Lineage: Bacteria; Bacillati; Actinomycetota; Actinomycetes; Micrococcales; Microbacteriaceae.
CCAAAACGGUGAAGCCAAGCUUGCUUGGUGGAUCAGUGGCGAACGGGUGAGUAACACGUGAGCAACCUGCCCUGGACUCUGGGAUAAGCGCUGGAAACGGCGUCUAAUACUGGAUAUGAGCUCUCAUCGCAUGGUGGGGGUUGGAAAGAUUUUUCGGUCUGGGAUGGGCUCGCGGCCUAUCAGCUUGUUGGUGAGGUAAUGGCUCACCAAGGCGUCGACGGGUAGCCGGCCUGAGAGGGUGACCGGCCACACUGGGACUGAGACACGGCCCAGACUCCUACGGGAGGCAGCAGUGGGGAAUAUUGCACAAUGGGCGGAAGCCUGAUGCAGCAACGCCGCGUGAGGGAUGACGGCCUUCGGGUUGUAAACCUCUUUUAGCAGGGAAGAAGCGAAAGUGACGGUACCUGCAGAAAAAGCGCCGGCUAACUACGUGCCAGCAGCCGCGGUAAUACGUAGGGCGCAAGCGUUAUCCGGAAUUAUUGGGCGUAAAGAGCUCGUAGGCGGUUUGUCGCGUCUGCUGUGAAAUCCCGAGGCUCAACCUCGGGCCUGCAGUGGGUACGGGCAGACUAGAGUGCGGUAGGGGAGAUUGGAAUUCCUGGUGUAGCGGUGGAAUGCGCAGAUAUCAGGAGGAACACCGAUGGCGAAGGCAGAUCUCUGGGCCGUAACUGACGCUGAGGAGCGAAAGGGUGGGGAGCAAACAGGCUUAGAUACCCUGGUAGUCCACCCCGUAAACGUUGGGAACUAGUUGUGGGGACCAUUCCACGGUUUCCGUGACGCAGCUAACGCAUUAAGUUCCCCGCCUGGGGAGUACGGCCGCAAGGCUAAAACUCAAAGGAAUUGACGGGGACCCGCACAAGCGGCGGAGCAUGCGGAUUAAUUCGAUGCACCGCGAAAA